GGAAGAGGUGCAGUCGACGUUUCGGGCCGAGACUCUUCGUCAGGACUAACUGAAAGAAGAGAUACACAGGAGGCCAUGGAUAGACAUAUCAGAAUGGGAAUGGGACGUGGAAUUAAAAGGUGUGGCCACUGGAAGAUCCUGCUUUCUCUGGCAGACAGAGCAUUGGUGUUCAGCGAAACGAUCUCCCAGUCUGCGUCGGGACUCACCAAUAUAUAGAAGGCGUAUCGGGAGCACCGGACACAGUAUAUCACCCCAGCCAACUCACAGAUACCUAGCACGCAAGUGGGAAUCCCACCUCCUCUUCUCUUAAUGGUAAUGUGUAAAAAUGAUCUCCAACAUACAAGAAUAUUGCAC
This is a long non-coding RNA of Mobula hypostoma (lesser devil ray), 354 nucleotides long. RefSeq lists it as uncharacterized. The transcript has 3 exons. NCBI's taxonomy places the organism in Eukaryota, Metazoa, Chordata, Chondrichthyes, Myliobatiformes, Myliobatidae. The record is from RefSeq and is a predicted model, not a curated record.